Molecule: ribosomal RNA, 362 nt
Filed under: Salmonella enterica subsp. enterica serovar Thompson
Lineage: Bacteria; Pseudomonadati; Pseudomonadota; Gammaproteobacteria; Enterobacterales; Enterobacteriaceae
Description: partial 23S ribosomal RNA
Rfam family: Bacterial large subunit ribosomal RNA
Source: RNAcentral
GGGUUGUGAGGUUAAGCGACCAAGCGUACACGGUGGAUGCCCUGGCAGUCAGAGGCGAUGAAGGACGUGCUAAUCUGCGAUAAGCGUCGGUAAGGUGAUAUGAACCGUUAUAACCGGCGAUUUCCGAAUGGGGAAACCCAGUGUGACUCGUCACACUAUCAUUAACUGAAUCCAUAGGUUAAUGAGGCGAACCGGGGGAACUGAAACAUCUAAGUACCCCGAGGAAAAGAAAUCAACCGAGAUUCCCCCAGUAGCGGCGAGCGAACGGGGAGGAGCCCAGAGCCUGAAUCAGCAUGUGUGUUAGUGGAAGCGUCCGGAAAGGCGCGCGAUACAGGGUGACAGCCCCGUACACAAAAGCGCAU